Molecule: microRNA, 19 nt
Filed under: Chiloscyllium plagiosum (whitespotted bambooshark)
Lineage: Eukaryota; Metazoa; Chordata; Chondrichthyes; Orectolobiformes; Hemiscylliidae
Description: microRNA PC-5p-668257_1
Source: RNAcentral
AAUAGUUGCUGGGAUCUGG